GCAUCUGUAACUCAAUUGGUAGAGUAGCUGACUCUUAAUCAGUAUGUUAGGGGUUCGAGUCCCCUCAGAUGCACCA
Molecule: transfer RNA, 76 nt
Filed under: Candidatus Babelota bacterium
Lineage: Bacteria
Description: Candidatus Dependentiae bacterium tRNA-Lys
Rfam family: tRNA
About the family: Transfer RNA (tRNA) molecules are approximately 80 nucleotides in length. Their secondary structure includes four short double-helical elements and three loops (D, anti-codon, and T loops).
Source: RNAcentral